CCUACGGGAGGCAGCAGUGGGGAAUAUUGCACAAUGGGCGCAAGCCUGAUGCAGCGACGCCGCGUGCGGGAUGGAGGCCUUCGGGUUGUAAACCGCUUUUGUUCAAGGGCAAGGCACGGUCGUUGGCCGGGUUGAGUGGAUGGUUCGAAUAAGCACCGGCUAACUACGUGCAAGCAGCCGCGGUAAUACGUAGGGUGCAAGCGUGAUCCGGAUUUAUUGGGGGUAAAGGGCUCUUAGGCGGUUCGUCGCGGCCGGUGUGUAAGGCCAUCGCUUAACGGUGGAUCCGCGCCGGGUACGGGCGGGCUUGAGUGCGGUAGGGGAGACUGGAAUUCCCGGUGUACCGGUG
This 346-nucleotide ribosomal RNA is filed under the name uncultured bacterium. Its description in RNAcentral is "partial 16S ribosomal RNA". It matches the Rfam family "Bacterial small subunit ribosomal RNA", at positions 338 to 683 of the family's 1533-position model. The record is from RNAcentral.